This 369-nucleotide ribosomal RNA is filed under the name Lactiplantibacillus plantarum. RNAcentral's name for it is "bacterial SSU rRNA". It matches the Rfam family "Bacterial small subunit ribosomal RNA", at positions 1174 to 1533 of the family's 1533-position model. The record is from RNAcentral. Lineage: Bacteria; Bacillati; Bacillota; Bacilli; Lactobacillales; Lactobacillaceae.
UGGGGAUGACGUCAAAUCAUCAUGCCCCUUAUGACCUGGGCUACACACGUGCUACAAUGGAUGGUACAACGAGUUGCGAACUCGCGAGAGUAAGCUAAUCUCUUAAAGCCAUUCUCAGUUCGGAUUGUAGGCUGCAACUCGCCUACAUGAAGUCGGAAUCGCUAGUAAUCGCGGAUCAGCAUGCCGCGGUGAAUACGUUCCCGGGCCUUGUACACACCGCCCGUCACACCAUGAGAGUUUGUAACACCCAAAGUCGGUGGGGUAACCUUUUAGGAACCAGCCGCCUAAGGUGGGACAGAUGAUUAGGGUGAAGUCGUAACAAGGUAGCCGUAGGAGAACCUGCGGCUGGAUCACCUCCUUUCUAAGGAA